This 882-nucleotide long non-coding RNA is filed under the name Helianthus annuus (common sunflower). Lineage: Eukaryota; Viridiplantae; Streptophyta; Magnoliopsida; Asterales; Asteraceae. The record is from RNAcentral.
GGCCGUUUCACUUCGUUUCGCAAAGAAAAUAACAAUCGUUCAUCCCCGAAAACCCUAAUCGCAUCAGCAAUCAUCAAGCAUGGGCAUAAUCCUGUGUAAAUCUUUGAUUCUUGCUUCCAAUUUAUGAUUCUCGGAGAUAUUGCCAGUUAUCUACAGAUCAUUCAAGUCUAAUGCUCUGCAUGGACACAACAGUUGUUGGUAAGACAGAGGUUGGAUGAACCCUUUUUGGAGAUAUAGGUUACGGCCCUAUUCUAUUCUUCAUAGUGUUUGUGUGCACGAUAAUCUUCGUCAAUUCUGUUCUUUUUGGUGGGCCUGCCAUGCACAGAGUUACAUUUUCUAAGCAGGACCAGGAGCGGUCAACUUUGUAUUAGACCAUGUUGAAAUUGAUGUUUUUGUCCAGGAUAAAAACAUUAAAGAAGUAAAAGCACCUUAGUACCAAAAUUUCUAUCAUAAAAAAGUUGUUAAGUAAUAUUGCUUUGCUUUUGCAGCUACUGAAUCCAGAGUGUAUACAUACCCAACGAUUAAAUUGUGAGUGAAUUCAGUCAUCUUAACUAUACUGGAGCUUGGAUUGUAUUUGUGAGCUUAGGUAUAUAUGAUUCAAGGUUUAAUCUUAGGUGUAAAGUGUAAGAUUUGUAAAUCAGCAACAUGAACUUCCUUUUUAUCUAUGAAUGAGUCGAUUUCAGUUGUAUUUUCUCUCAAAUUUACCAAACGGGUUAAAUAAGUUAUUUAAUAUGUCAAAUAGGUCUUUGAUGUUAUGCUUCAAUGGUUAGCAACAAGGUGUUUGUCGACAAUGGUUAACAAGUGGUCCCAAAAAAGAGUCUAGCUUGUGUUUUUGUUUAUACUGUUGGAUAAGACUUAGAGAUUUGGGUGACAUUUGAAUAU